Molecule: long non-coding RNA, 780 nt
Filed under: Felis catus (domestic cat)
Lineage: Eukaryota; Metazoa; Chordata; Mammalia; Carnivora; Felidae
Description: lncRNA (ENSFCAG00000050247.1)
Source: RNAcentral
UUAAGAGCCAUUUGAAUGCGUUAGAAUCCCUUUGACUGCAAGUGAUAGAAAGCCCAAUUCCAUGGCAUAAGCAAGAAGAUAUUUGUUUCCUCCUGACUAAAAAGUUUGGAAGUAGAUGUAGAACUUUCAAUGGGCCUUAAUUGAAAGAUUUAAAUGUCACCAGGGCCUGUGAUUUCUCUUGUUAGUUAGCUCAUUCGUGUUCUCUCGCUCUCUCUCAUUCUUUUUGCUGGCUUCCCCUCUCACUCUUUUGUUUCAGAUUCAUUCUGUCUAUACCCUAUCUUCAAACAGUUUCUGCCCUAAUUCGUACUGACUUGCACUGAACUGGGCAUUCAGUGCUUUGAUUUUCCAGGCUCGAGUCACAUGAUGGAAUCAAAAUCCCACCAACUAGAUGGAGUGAGUGAGGGAUGGGCAUUCUGGCUGUUCAGUGGAAGAUCAAGGAGGUGUUACACGGAGCAGGAUGAGUAAGCACUGGCUGAUGAACAACACAGAUUGGUGCUGUAUGUAAUCUACUCCCUUAACACCAUAACAUCUACACAGGAAAUUCUGACUGUUAACGCAUGCUUUAAAACAAAACAGGAGGAAUCUGAGAUGUCUGAGGACAGUCAAGCCUUGGAGUUUGUCCUCUGCUGUUGCUGCCUGGUUUCUGGGAAUCCAUGGAAAUAGGAAUUGUGGGUCAAAGGUUAAAGGUGUGAAGAAGAGUUGGGGCCAAUCCUGGAUCUCAGGUGUCAAAGUUUUCAAGCAGCACAGAAAAACAAUAGUGUUUCCUUAGAAAGGAAAGUA